AGCGGCGUGUGCGUGUGCCGAGACCGCCUCCUCCACCCGCCCUCCCGGCCGCGCCGCCCGGCGGGCAGUAGGGCCCCGCCCCGCCCUGCCGCUGCCCGCGGGGCCGCCGCUGCCCUCCCACGGCCCGGCCCGGCCCACCGCUCGCCUGAGGGGCCGCCGUGCCCGCCCCGCUGCCGGCAGGGCCGCGCCGCGCCGCGCCGCCGCCGUGGCACGGCUGGGGUGCCCGGGACUGCCGGUCCGGCGGCGCUACCGCAAGUCUACAGUCCUCCGGUGAGGGCGGGGGAAAUGCUGUGCGUGCGGGCACAACCUACAAAACCACAGGCAAGCGAGAAGAGCGUCGGCACGGCAGGGCGUUACACCUUACAAAUCCCAGACGACGGCUUGCGAGGGGAAGUUUUACCUACGGCAUUGCAAAAGACAUCUGCAUCCGGUGUAAAUGGGCUGAAAGGACGAAUGUUUCAGGCAUGCAAACCACUCCACUGAAUCGGGUUAUCCCAAGUGUACCAUUUGAGAGCCAUCCCAAGUGUAUAAUUUUAAUACAAAACAGACUGCCUAGCCUUCUACCAUACUGUCUCUGCAUCUGCUAACACUUGCGUGGAAUCUGAAGAGAAGAAAAACAAAGAAAUGCUAUGUAAAUAAGCACUUCAAAAUGUCUAGCAUAUGUUAUGAUUAAAAAACAUGAGCUACCGGGUCCAUGGAGCAGGCAUAGUUACUUAUGUCUUGUCAACCUUUUUCCUAGUGGGAAAUGGAAUAAUGUUCGUUUUGCAUUCAUAACUGUUUCAUACACUUAAGAAAGGGAAUAUAAAUCCUGAUAGGAAAUGGCAGGGAGCAGGAAGGGGGAGUGGGGUCACUCCAUAGUGGGAGUGAGCAAGGAGCCGAACGUGACUCCAGCAGAGGCAAUGCUGUCCCCUGAGGAGCAGUCCCAGAGCACCUGUGUAGGUGACACCGACCGGUUCUGCUGACAGCCCCCCACAAACUGAGAUAACACGUCAGGGCUGGGGUCCAUGCAGAGACCCAGUGGGGAGCAGCAGGAGCCAGCACCAGGCCUGAAGACAAGGCUGGGACACAUACUUAGGGCUCAUCCACGAGGUAGGGCUGGAGACAAGCCACCUGCAAUGUCCCCAUCCAGUAUUCCUGCCACACAUUGAAAGAUGGUGGUGACAUGGGGACCUAAGUUCUUUGAGGUUAUGUGACAGCUAGAGCUGGACAAAAAGGCACUGUGUGAAGAAGAGAUUAGAAUAAGAUAUUGUAGGCUUGCAACAAAUGACUGGUUUGUUUAGGACCACUGAAUCUGGUUAUUUCUAUGCCAUUUUUUUCCAGAGCGAUCUCACUAUCCAGGUACAUUUUCACCUGAAGAAACAACACAUUGUAUCAGGCACAACAGGAAAUAUCCCAAAGGGAGAGUCUGUGCCGUGACAGUCUGCAUGCCGUUGUCACACCACAACCGCAUUUUCCAGGAGGAGCCCUCUCCUUUGCUACACUGCUACCCCAGCACAGCUAUUCCACAUCUCCCACGCCAGGACAACAGGCCAGUCUUCGCAUUGACAUUUAUUCUAUAGCAUUAGAAAUUAUCAGCCUUACACAGGCUGCAUAUCACAUUGGUAAACUGAGGACCAAAUUGAAAGAUGCAGUGUUUAAAACAACUUUUAUCCAAGGCUUCUGUAGGGGACUAUGGUAUGUAACCAGGAAUAGGGUUGAGCUGACACAUGUACUGCUGAGUAAUCCAAAUCCGAGACUGAAUAAAAAGAGCUAGCCAGCAAGGAGUUCUGAGGCCAACAUCACUGGGUUACUUAAAACCAUUCAUAUAUUGUGCUUCUCUCUGCAGCAGGGUCCCUCAGAGAGCUACUAUCACAUCUGGACUGGGAAUCACUCCCAAUUUGGCCCUCAGGAGCGUGGCUGUGAGCCAGGAGAGAUAAAUCAGAAAUUAAAACCUUCAGGAGCAGCUGCUGGGUUAAGCAAGGUCAUAAGGAAAGAAAACCAAGGACCUUUCUGCAAGCUAGAAGAAAAUCAUCAUUCUUGUGACAAAGCUUCCAUCCUGUGCCUUGGGUGCAAAACCCUGACCAAGCAAAACCUUUCAGAGCCUCACGAUUCAGUUUACCCAGGCCCUGCAGGCAGCUCACAUGCAUCCUCACAUGGUGCAGCAAAAUAAAGGAAGCAUAGGUAUAAACUGAGUAAAAAACACCCAAAUGAAUAAGUGCUCCAAAGACAUCUCUGCACUAGUGCUCUCAAUGGUACAAGAUGAUUAGAUAACUGGCAAGAUUAGCCCAGAGUUGACUUUCUACUUAAAUAGAUAUAUGAGUCCAGAUGGCCUUGAAUAGCUGUUUAUCCAGCGUCACUGCAUAGAACAAGCAUGACCUGAGAAGCACAAGGAAUGCAGCUCCCUCUCUGCAGUCACUAGGAGCUGGAGAGGCUCAGUCUUCAGUGGCCAUUUAUCUCCUUGCUGCAGCAGAACACAGUACGGGGCAGCUCUUCAGACAGUCCCUGUGCCCCAGGCCAAUUAUUCUCCUCCAAUACUGGAGAUCCAAGACCCUGCACAGCAGGUUGCGCAGAACAGAACUGCAAGGGAACAGCAACAGAUGAGCAAUGAGCAAAGACUUGCUUUUGCUUCAAGAUCCAAGCCAGCACCACUACACAACCAUAGAGGGCUCUUCGUUAUCAUUUGUGGCCAUUAGAAGAUGGGAAGUUGGUUAGUGCCAUCCCUACCAUCCUGCAGGAAGGGAAAAGCAGAGGUGUCUCCAACUCCAGGGAAUUCUUCCAAGUUGUCUGUCCUCUGCAUAUCCCACACCUUGCAGUGCCUUCAGCCAUAGUCAGAUGCCAAAUACUGUAUGUCAGUGCAGUUGACUGCUCGCCAGUUCCUUCAAUAAAGCAUGCAGUUUUCUCCUAAAAAAACUUGCGAAUAUUUUUAUGAGAAUGCAGGCUAAACUUGUCCUUUAAAUUUUAAGUUCUAGAAGAAAUUAGGAUCACUAAUUGUUCUUUCCAGCAAUCUUCUCUUCUACACGAUGAGUUGAGCCCAAAGCGAAGAUCAGUCACCCCCAGGCCUCUGAAGACAUAUGUAACCACACCGACCCUUUGCAGUAACAGGCUACUUUUCCCUAAUCCCCCACCCAGCUUCACUUACACAGCAACUUAAUUUUUGAAACCUCAUAUACGCACAAACAUGGCAUGCUGCUUGCACCGAUCACCUGCUGAAAGACCAAGUGUCUCAGUGUUAUUUUGCUGGAAAUGCUGUAAUGUUAGCUCAUCUGAAUAUUUAUAUUUUGCUGUCUUAUGUUCCUCACAUCUGUUUGUGGAAGGAUACAAUCAGCACAUCCAAACCCAGCAUCAACUUCCAUAUACAAUGCAAAGCUCAACAAUCCCUGGACUCACAAGGUUUGCUGGCAAGAUUCCUUAUUCCUUUUCUACUCCCCUACCAGUUAUACUACCAUUUUCUAGGAAAUGUACUUCCAUUUUCAUUAGGAAAUAACUAGUGCAAAGCAUCUACAGAUAGGUGAUUUGUGACUUCUGAGUAUAAUAUUAAAUAUCUGUAUCUCAAACACCCAGAAUCUUUUACCAUCAAAGAACUUUACAAGCAUCAGUAAUAAACCCCCCGUGGGACAGGAGUGGGUACUAUACUGCUAGGUUAGACCUGAAGGCAGGUGGCCCCAGGUGCCCUUUGGCUGAUAGAAAGGGCUGUUCUGACAGUAUUACAUUUUAGCAAGCCAUCAAUGAUCUUCACAAUUAUUUAGAACCUCCUUUCUAUGGUAGGUCCUAAUGGGUUAAAAAGCAAGCCUGGGUUUUAUUAUGAAGGCUUUAUAACUUUAUAUAAAACAAACCAAAAAUCUCAAGCACACAGAAGGAAGAGCACUCGGGGCUUGGGUGAGAUGAACAAGAGAAAAACCAAUGUCAAUUUUCAGCUGAUUGUGGUAUUUCAACAGUGGUGGGGCACUUUAUCGCUAUCGCUCGGGGGAGACAGCACUGCAAAACCAUAAAAACCUAGAGGGAAUACCCUCAAGGAGAUAAAGGAGCAAUGUUUUAAGAGCUGUGGCAUGGUACGUCACACACAAUUGGCCAGAGCACAAGAAGAGAGGAGAGCUCGAGAGUGAAGACGGUUGUAACUACAUCUCCAAGCAAGCCCUUAGUCUCCAUAGGUAGCAACCACAACUCUGAUCUACCCUUUUACAUCAGUCUGUACACAGCAGUCCAUCUCUUACCUCCUGACUAGUCCAGCUAGCAGGAAAAACUCCAUGACUACCCAAACAAAAUGUUAGCUAUAUGAAUAUGUUGAAAGAAGAUAUUCAAGUAGCUCCUGCUUCCCUGGAUUAGCUUUAUCAGCUUAUUCAGCGUGGAUUGCUAAUGCUUCAUUUGUGUGGUUACCCACUCACAUCCACACCACACAGGCACGGUGUUUACAGACAGCCCUGCUGGCAACCUGCAAGUAAUUUAAAGAUGAUGGUUGGAAAUUAUUUUCCAUUUUUAACUGUAACUGUCUGGUAAUUAUGUACCUCUCGCUUCCUUUCUCCUUAACACAGGUGCACAUAGUGCUAGCAACUUCGUCAGAGAUUUAGCCCCAACUCUAAUCCCACCAUGUCCAAAGGCAGCUGUCUCACGUUUCUGCACUACUGAUCGCAGCCAUCAAACCCAGACCAUCUUCCACAUAAAUUCAAUAAGAGUGGUAAAAGUCUACCGAACCCUUGGCACUUGCCCUCUCUUCUGGGUAAAAAAUCUACUUUGGGGUCAGUUAAAGAAUUUUAUAUGUUAAUAAGUUGGGAAGGGGAAAAGUGUUGAGAGUUAAUUUGUUUCCAGGCAGGCUGUUCCUCCCCUGUCCUGGCUGGAGAUAGGAACUUCGCGCUGAAAGGUUUGUUUACAGGGCUGACACCUCUUCAGAAAGGAUGGAGCAGUGGAGUUCUGAAUUCACCACCUCUCUCUGUAGUGGUGUUUGAUAGCUUUGCCACUUUACAGCCAUGCUGCUGGUAUGCACUUCACACCAGAGAAGUCUGGUACAGCGAGAGCUUGAGCCACUCAUUCAUCCAUGCUCCCUGUGAAAGUCCAAAAAAAAAAGUAUUUGUUCAGGUUUUUACAUGCACUGGCAUGCUUGUUCAGGAAGUGUCAAAGAAGCAAGGAGCCCUGAGCUGUCCCCUGUGGUACAAAGAUAUCCUAACACCACAGCUGCCUUUAAGGAAGAGCUCCUUUUGCUUCAGAGAGCUCUUGUGGUACAAGCUGGAAGUCUGAGGUCUGACUGGAUUAAGUUUUGCUACAGCAAUCCUGAGACCAAACUGCCCUGACUAGGCUUCAAGCACUCAGAUAAACUCAACUAAUUACAUGAGUGUGGUGGGAAGGGAGAAAGCUUUCCGUGCCACCAGAGAAGAACAAACAGAAUAAGAAGCAAAAGACAUCUAUGCACUGCAGUAAGGUUCAGAAAAGUUUGGAUGCACCUGAAAAAUAAGUGCACAGACUCUGUAUUUUAAAGUAUUUAUUGCAGUUUUGAAAUGGGAACAGACAGAAAUAACACUUGAGGGCAGAAGUCAGGAAUUUUCGAUGUGGGGCAGUACCUGACCCUUGCGCAAAACUAGACUAUAAACCUUUUUGUCCCCUGCUCCAAGCAGCAGCCUGAACAUACAAAGGGGAGAAUAAACACCCAAGAAAAAGAUCCCUAAUUCCCCUCCUGCUUCAGAUCAGAAUUAGAACAGGAAACUUCAGGGAGCAAGGACAACAUCAAUUUGACACAGGUUAGCAGCAGCAGCUCUGGCCUCCUCUUCGCAGGGACGGUCACACCCCAGUCAAAGCCCUGAGGACACUGUGCAGAGAAUCCACAACAUGAGCACUAGCAUGACACUCCUUCCAGCAUGCUCCCUGAGCCCAGCUCUUCUUUGUGCUAUGGCUUACAAAGUCAGAGCCUUACAUUCUGGGAGGUUACACCUCCCCCUCCACCCUUUUCAGAGAGAUAGAAGGACAGGCUGUGGUCCAUACCGUCCUGCAUCAAGGCAAGCUCUGAUCUGCACAGAGGUGCAAGCCAGGAGUAACUCUGGGACUAACCCCUGGAGACAGAUGUGCAGCAGCAGCUGCCAGGAAAAGCCACCUGCUUCGAACUGUACAAUGCAAUGGAUCAUCAGCCUCUUACGCAUGUGAUGCAGUAAGAAAGAAGAGGAAGUCCUGACCCAUCUGGUGCCCGCACAAGUUUCUAGUAUGUUAAGAAACUUCCUGGGGGCUGCGUGGCCAACCAAGUGCGGUCAAUGGGAGCCUGCAAAUCCUAAUGACUUAAAACUGAAAAGAGACUGUUUUCCGCCACAAUUUUGCUCUUGCGCACAUCAGUUCUCUGAUGACCCCUUCCUACACCAAGCACCACGCAGAGGGAAACUGAGAGUAUACCAACUACAUCAGCCAGCGGCUACGCAGCAAAAGCUCUGGCACAGAGUCCUUGCAGGGCUUGCAUGGGCAAUGGAGGACUAGAAACAAGUACUUGUGAGGACACCGUUCUCCUGUCUCUUCAUCAAAUACUCUCUGGGUUUUUACUUCUCAGGUAACAUUUCAUGUUGGACCAAAGCUGUACAGUAUAUUAAAUUCCUUCUGCAGGGAUUUUGUCUGAUCUGGUUUUGCUGCCAGGGUAGUUUUAAGAAGGCAUACAGUCUGCAUACAAUGCAAAGUGGAGUCAUUCAGAUACACUCUGUUCCCUUCAGAGCCAAGAGGAAUGAGAGCAAGAGUAUAGGAGCUUAAAAGCUUCCACUCUGGCAGAAAGAAAAUUUCUCACAGUGCAGGUACUGCCUGCAGGUACAGCUAUCUUUCCA
Molecule: non-coding RNA, 6761 nt
Organism: Phalacrocorax carbo (great cormorant)
Lineage: Eukaryota; Metazoa; Chordata; Aves; Suliformes; Phalacrocoracidae
Source: RefSeq, a predicted model, not a curated record